This 94-nucleotide ribosomal RNA is filed under the name Yersinia enterocolitica. The record is from RNAcentral. Lineage: Bacteria; Pseudomonadati; Pseudomonadota; Gammaproteobacteria; Enterobacterales; Yersiniaceae.
CCCACCUGAAUCCAUGCCGAACUCAGAAGUGAAACGCCGUAGCGCCGAUGGUAGUGUGGGGUCUCCCCAUGCGAGAGUAGGACACUGCCAGGCA